AAUUGCUUGAGCCUGAGAGGCAGAGGCUGCAGUGAGCUGAGAUCGCGCCACUGCACUCCAGCCCGGGCAACAGAGUGAGACUGUCUCAAAAAAAAAAAAAAAAAGAAAUUCCAAAGGUGGCCAGCAUGGUGGCUCAUGCCUGUAAUUCCAGUACUUUGAGGCCGAGGUGGGAGGAAUGCUUGAGCCCCCAGUCUGGGCAAUAUAGUGAGACCCCAUCUCUGCAAAAAAAGAAGUUCCAGAGGCCCAGACUUGCUACUGGUGCCCAGGGGGCUGUGGGGCAGCUUGGGCAUUGAGCCCUCAUGCUGUGGGAUCUGAUGCUGUCUCUAGGUAGAUAGUGUUGGAAUUGAAUUGGAG
This 354-nucleotide long non-coding RNA is filed under the name Homo sapiens (human). Its description in RNAcentral is "HSALNT0098719". The record is from RNAcentral. Lineage: Eukaryota; Metazoa; Chordata; Mammalia; Primates; Hominidae.